This 270-nucleotide long non-coding RNA is filed under the name Pollicipes pollicipes. RNAcentral's name for it is "uncharacterized LOC119107881". The record is from RNAcentral. Lineage: Eukaryota; Metazoa; Arthropoda; Thecostraca; Pollicipedomorpha; Pollicipedidae.
CCCGCAGCGACUGCCGUCCGAACACGGCCGCAAUCGUUGACCUGAUGUCGACGAUGGCUCGUGCCCGGCCCAUGUACACGCGCCGCCUGUUGCAGCAAUUCGUCGAGACUAAUGGCUCACUCGUGGCUGAGAACGAGAGACGUGGCCUGGAAGCGCUCAUGAAACACUUCAAGAGGAUGUACAAGCGGCUGGUGCGCUCCCUAGACGAACAGGAGGCUGAAGUGCAGGAACUGGCGGACCUCCGCGCGGCUGGCCGAGCAGUGGGCGACU